RNAcentral lists this ribosomal RNA (252 nucleotides) under uncultured bacterium. Its description in RNAcentral is "partial 16S ribosomal RNA". It matches the Rfam family "Bacterial small subunit ribosomal RNA", at positions 524 to 776 of the family's 1533-position model. The record is from RNAcentral.
GACAGAGGAUGCAAGCGUUAUCCGGAAUUAUUGGGCGUAAAGAGUACGUAGGCGGCUUAUCAAGUCAGGGGUUAAAUCCCGCAGCUUAACUGCGGAUCGGCCUUGAAACUGAUCGGCUAGAGUAUGGUAGGGGUAGAGGGAAUUCCCGGUGUAGCGGUGAAAUGCGUAGAUAUCGGGAAGAACACCUGUGGCGAAAGCGCUCUACUGGACCAUAACUGACGCUGAGGUACGAAAGCUAGUGGAGCGAAGGGG